GGACUACAAGGGUUUCUAAUCCCGUUUGCUCCCCUGGCUUUCGCGCCUCAGCGUCAGAAAAGGUCCAGCACGUCGCUUUCGCCACCGGCGUUCCUUCCGAUAUCUACGCAUUUCACCGCUCCACCGGAAGUUCCACAUGCCCCUACCUCCCUCGAGAUCGGUGGUAUCCAGGGCCGUUCUCUCGUUAAGCGAGAGGAUUUCACCCCAGACGGACCGACCCGCCUACGCGCCCUUUAAGCCCAGUGAAUCCGAACAACGUUCGCACGGUUCGUCUUACCGCGGCUGCUGGCAC
Molecule: ribosomal RNA, 292 nt
Filed under: uncultured Planctomycetota bacterium
Lineage: Bacteria; Pseudomonadati; Planctomycetota
Description: uncultured planctomycete partial 16S ribosomal RNA
Source: RNAcentral